This 497-nucleotide ribosomal RNA is filed under the name uncultured bacterium. RNAcentral's name for it is "partial 16S ribosomal RNA". It matches the Rfam family "Bacterial small subunit ribosomal RNA", at positions 28 to 507 of the family's 1533-position model. The record is from RNAcentral.
GAUGAACGCUGGCGGCGUGCCUAAUACAUGCAAGUCGAGCGAACGGACGAGAAGCUUGCUUUUCUGAUGUUAGCGGCUGACGUGUGAGUAACACGUGGAUAACCUACCUAUAAUACUGGGAUAACUUCGGGAAACCGGAGCUAAUACCGGAUAAUAUUUUGAACCGCAUGGUUCAAAAGUGAAAUACGGUCUUUCUUUCACUUAUAGAUGGAUCCGCGCUGCAUUAGCUAGUUGGUAAGUUAACGGCUUACCAAGGCAACGAUGCAUAUCCGACCUGAGAGGGGGAUAGGACACACGGGAACGGAGACACGGAACAGACGCCUACGGGAGGAAGCAGUAGGGAAUAUGACGCAAUGGGCGAAAGCAUGACGGAGCAACGCCGCGUGAGUGAUGAAGGACUUAGGAUCGUAAAACACUGUUAUUAGGGAAGAAAAUAUGUGGAAGUAAAUGAGCACAUCGUGACGGUACCUAAUCAGAAAGCAACGGCUAACUACGUG